AGCACGGUGGCUCAGUGGUUAGCACAGCAAGAAGGUCCUGGGUUCAAAUCCCAGCCGUCCCA
RNAcentral lists this transfer RNA (62 nucleotides) under Megalops atlanticus (tarpon). It matches the Rfam family "tRNA". From Rfam's summary of the family: Transfer RNA (tRNA) molecules are approximately 80 nucleotides in length. Their secondary structure includes four short double-helical elements and three loops (D, anti-codon, and T loops). Lineage: Eukaryota; Metazoa; Chordata; Actinopteri; Elopiformes; Megalopidae. The record is from Rfam by way of RNAcentral.